This 828-nucleotide ribosomal RNA is filed under the name Triticum aestivum (bread wheat). Its description in RNAcentral is "partial small subunit ribosomal RNA". Lineage: Eukaryota; Viridiplantae; Streptophyta; Magnoliopsida; Poales; Poaceae. The record is from RNAcentral.
AUGCAUGAGCUACGCUGGAGGAAGUUCUCUUCAUUCGGCAUUUUGAAAUCUUCUAUCAUCACUUUGCUGCCUAAGAAGGAGACUUCCCUAGAGGUGGCGGAUUUCAGACCAAUUAACUUGAUCCACGGUGUAGCUAAAAUUUUCACCAAGGUGUUGGCUGUUCGGCUCGCCCCUCUUCUGCCGACCCUGAUUUCUCAAGUCCAAAGCUCCUUCAUAAGUCGCGUGAGUAUGCAUGAGAACUUCAAGUUAGAGCGUAAUGCGGCUAGAGAGUUGCAUAGAAAGAAAGUAUCCUCUGUUCUUAUGAAGAUUGAUAUCUCCAAGUCAUUCAACACCCCAUCCCGGGAGUUCAUUAUUCAAGUCCUGAAGAGACGAGGGUUCGGGAACCUUUGGUGCUCUUGGAUUUGUGGGCUCCUCCGCACAGCUUCCUCUUCGGUGUUGAUUAAUGGGGAGACCAAUGAACCCUUCGUGCUGGGUCGCGGAGUGAGACAGGGGGACUCCUUGUCACCAGCCCUGUUCAUCUUAGCCAUGGAUGUCCUGCAAGCUAUGAUCAGUUGGGUGGUGCAGAACCAUCUUAUUUCUAGUCUGGGUUUCAAGGACAGGGUACCAAGGGCCUCGUUUUUUGCAGAUGAUGCGGUGCUUUUCUUCAGAAAUAAUUCCAGCGAUAUGCAUGUGAUUGCGGCCACGCUGAAACUUUUUGGCGAAGCUUCGGGACUGCGCAUAACCUCCAGAAGUGUAUGGUUACCUGCAUCAGAUGUGAGGAUCACUUCUAGGAGGUCGUGGCUCAAUUUUUUGGUUGCCAAUCCAAAACCUUCCCGCUCCAGUAUCUAG